ACUCUUCCUCCCACUCAGGUGCCUUCCAUCUCAUUGGAAAUUAUCCCCUCACAGUAAGUUACCUGAUGAGGAGGUGGGGAAUGAGUGGGCUAGACAGAAGAGGAAGAAAAGGGCUCAUGCUGAUAUUGCUGGAAUCUGGUUCAUCACUCAUACUCAACAGAGCACUGCUUGCUGAAUAUUGUAUGUGCAUGUGCAGAAUCACAGAAUUAUAGGGGUUGGAAGGGACCUCAAGAGAUCAUUGUGUCCAACCCCCCUGCCAAAGCAAGUACCCUAGAGCAGAUUGCCCAGAGAUAAUGAGAAGACGUCUUCUGAGAGAAGUCUCCUGCUUAACUCAAGCUAUGGAACAUUGAGCUACUGCUGUAAAAAUCAAAGAACCGAAGAAAUCAAAACAGUCAGAUUGUCCACAUGCUACCACCAUAACACCGAGACACAACCAGUACAGGUCAGCUGGGAUCAACCUGAAAUUACUGCCAAUAUAGGAUGCUCCUAUAGCCAAUGCCUCCUGCUUCCAGUACCAGACCGGUCAGGUUCAAUACACAGCCCAAGAUGAAUUUGAAAACACAGCCUUUUGCUGGUUUUUGGUAGUCAUCAAAAGUGUCUCUGUUUACAGGACAGAAUAUGAGAAUAAUCCAGCACCAGACAGUGUGGAUUGAAGAGGAUACCCGAACCAGUUUACUGUCAAGAAGGCUGUGUCAUCACAGACCUCCACUGAACCAACAGUUGCACCCUGAAACCAGAUGUACAUAUUGUAGUUAUAAAAUAUCAGCUCUCAGUUCAUUGCGGAUGUGGAAACGCAGUAGGCCUGGAAAAGAUUCUGAAGUAUCCAUGGUGAUGAUCUACCCACAGAAUAUUGAAAGAGGUCCUUGAACAAGGAAACCCUUUUAACUGGCAUCAUCUGUCCAAAAAUGUCCUGGAAGGAGCCUGUAUCUGAAGACAGUUCUUGGCUUCCAUUAGGAAUCAUAAGAUCUAUUGCAUUUACAGUGGACUGCCAUAACACAAAGGAAUAGUCUGUGACUAUUCUUUGAAAGGAGGAGAGCUGAUACCCACCGGUUUUACUGCACCGUGUCAAAGACAUCACCAAUUUAGCAGUGAUCCAUAGCCAAUGCACCGAAGACCUUCAGAAUAACUUCCUCUGCUACAGUCACAUGCAUCAGAUUUAAUUUGCAAAUAUCAAGGUAAGGAGCUAAGCAAAUAUGUAUUUCUAUUCCAGUUUAUUUUCUACCUUAAUAAUUUGUGCAGUUGAUAUUUCCUUAUAUAUAUAUAUUUGCUGUAUAACUUCAGGUUUCACUCCUAAAUCCUGCCCUGAAUGUCGGCCAUAGGCCUACUGAGAACUUCAAACCAUUUCUCUACAUACUAAACAUGUUCUUUUAGGACACAGGGAAAGACAAACUAUAAAGAGGAAAGACACACUAGGCAGCAGGUGGCUUGCAUUCUUGGUCAACUCUACCUUCAGCAGAGGUAAAAAACUGCACUUACCCCUAAUGCUAGAUUUAACCAGACAAUGUGUUCAUAAAACAUACCUUAGAUGUUUGGAUUUUUCUGUAUUUAUAUUGUUACAUUUGGCUAAUAUAUUAAGCUUUAUGUAGAGCUUAGGGAUAUGGUUCAGUGGUAGUCUUGGCAGUGCUAGGUUAAAGGUUGGACUAGAUGAUCUUAGAGGUCUUUUCCAACCUAAAUGAUUCUAUGAUUCCAUGUGAGUUAGCACUAAUCAAAAGGUAUUUUUUCCCUUUGUAAUAGUUUACAUUUAGAAAGUUGUGAGUUUGAUGGGAAAAAAAAACACUUUGGAAUUAUCGGUAGAAAGUGAAGUUGCAAAUAUCUUUACAAUUUAGUGUGCACAUUGUUAUUUUGGAAAUUGAUAAUUAUAUAUUAAUAUAAUAAAUUAUUAAUAUAUUAAACUAUUAGUUUAUUUAUAUUAAACCAGUUUAAUAUAAAAAUAAUCAUAUAUGUUAUUUGUCUCAAAUGAAGUAUGAACUUCAUGUGUAUCAUUUUAAACUCUUCAUUUAGUCAGUCUGUUUCAUUAAAAAUAUACAUCUGUGGGAUGGUAGAUAAUCAUUCUAAUUAUAACCAGGAGGCUCUCAGCUCUGAACUUCCAGACAGGCUCUUGUUACUGUGCAGAGCCCAGCUCCUGAAAAGAGAAUGGUAGCAGUGUAUAAGUAUAAAAAGUGAAAGAGGAAAAAACUUGAGCUUUUUUUCAUGGAUUAUUAUUUAUAGGAGUAGAGUAUGUGUAACUAGAACUCUUGCUUAGGCUUUUUCAUGAAACUGGAAAAAGGUAAAACAAAAUUUUUUUCUUUUUUUUUUUUUGUUUGUUCUGUGUCUAUACUGUUGUUUGCUUAUGUGUUAAAUGUAUUUUGUGUGUUACUGCUAUUGCAAUAUAAGUAAUUACCCUGCUGUUCCUGAAGUGCAUAACUUUCCAUAGUUAUUGCUGCUGGCAUAGUAUAAUAGCUCAAAUUGUAGCACUGUAUAAUCUGCAUUGUGGCCUUUAGCAGCCAGAUGCCUGCAGCCUGUGUCACUACAUCCACCUGCUUUCCCACCAUCCACCACUUGCUUAUUCUAGGUUCUAGAAUGGAUUUGAACAUGAAGUAUUCAAAGUGUUGCACUAAGCAAAACAUUUUGUAAUACAGAGUUUUGCAUUUUGAAUGUUGUAGCUGCAGUAUUAAGGAGAAGCACCAAUUGAUAGAGAUCACUAAGCCAUACCCUUAGCUGGAACAAAUAGAUACAGAAGAGUAUUAGUGAAUCUGUAGUAAUAUCUACUGGUGGAAAUUCAGUCCUCAUCAAAAGCGUUCUACAUAAUAACCUAGAAUUACAGGUUCCUGCUCAAAUGUCAGGAACGGGAACUGGGAGAUUGGACAUUAUUACCACAUUGUAAAAUAUUGGUAUCAUGCACAAAAUAGUAUUAAGACCCAGAAUUAAGAGCCUUGUGUGUAUAAAUACAGCUUGGCUUAAUUGGGCACUUUUUUUUACCUCAAGUUAUGGCUCUUGCUCAGGUUUCCUUUUAUAAAGGUGUUGAAAUGAGAUUUCAGAGCCAAGUUGUUUUAAAGCUGCAGGAAAACAAAAACAAUUCCUUCCUUUUCCUUAGCCCACUACCAUGCAUCCUUUUUGGACAACCAACUGCAGUAAGUGUUCUGUCUCACUUGAAGCAAAUAGAUGCACAGCUUUUUCUUUUUAGAUUAUUUUUUUUGUUUGCUUUUAUAUAUACUGCUUUUUCUCUUACCGAGAAAUAAACAGAGCGAGGUUAAACAAUUGAGUGAGUCCAAUACAGCCUUACCUACUUGAUUUUCCACAGUGUUUAGACUUUUUUUUUAGCAGUAAGUCACCAUUCAGCUCUAAAUAUGUUUACCGUUCUAUUCUUUCUUUGUCACUUAAAAACACCAGCCUAUAUAUCCCUAGUCCAUUAGGAUACUAAUUAUAAUAGUUGUUUUUACUACUGUUUUAGCACUUCGCUGUCACACUUUGCCCCCACACCCCCCCCCAAAAAAAAAGUGGAAAAAAAAUAACUUUUUUCCUACAACUGAGUAACCCUAUGUGUUGCUAUUUAGGAUAAUAACACAGAAAGCAGGCUGAAAAUGCCGAGCUGUUGCUGGUCUUGAACAUCUUAUGAAGGUAUGUAAGUACAUAUAUAUAAAAAUAUACAGGAGACAGCAGAAUAUAGCAGACAGAACCUUGGUAGCACAUCGGAGGCUUCCAAAUAUUUGAGAUCUUCCAUCAUUCGGUGUCCUAAGUACAAUGUUAAUCCAUCAGUUGGACAUAACCUAAGACCCAAAAUGGGCACUGGUUAAACCACUUAACUAAGCCAUCUUUCAGCUUUUCCAUGUGUACAACAAAAGGCUGAAUUUUAACCACUAUUUGUAAACAGUUUGGAGAGCUUUUCUUAAAACUAGCAAACAAGAACAACAAAACAAGCAAAAAAACAGAAAUGCAAAAAAACACAAAAAAAUUCUAAAUGCUGGUAUAUUUACUGGCACUUAAGAGUAUAUAAUCUGUAUAUGUUCUCUCUCUAUAGCACUUAAUUGCAAUUAGAGCAUAUAAUAUGUAUAUAAGCUGUUUCUGCAAGUUAUAAUUCUAUCAGAAUAAUUGAAGUAGCUAAAACUGGAACAAUGAAUAUUGUAUCACAGCUCAACAGAAAUGAAAUUUAAUUAUCAAGUCAGGUAAGAUUUCUAACCUUAUUUCAGUUGCGUUAUAUUACCUCCCACUUGAAAACAAGUUAAGGGUGAGGGGGUCAUUGUAACUCUUGCAGCAAAGGCCUUAAUUAAUCAACUAUAAAUUAACAAGUGUUCUUUUCUCAGUUUCUUUUUCUGCCAUCUUAGCUUUUAAUCUUCUAGUGUCACAAGGAAACUUUAAACAGUCAUCAUUAAGUGCCCAAUUGUAAAUAAAAUAUCUCUGAAAUGAGGAUGUUCAGGCUAAGGGUAAUGACAUUUAACUCCUUUUCCUGGCAAUAGGCUUGAUAAUAGCCAAGAACCAAAAUGCUUAUUAUCCCAUAUAAGACUUAAAAAUUCUAGGUGGGGAUUUCUUAUAUAACUUUUAACAGAAGUCUGCUGAAGGAGAGAUGUUUCCUGGCACUUGAGCUGUAAGCCAUACCUUCAGUUCACCUAGACACAAAGCUUAGGAGCAGCAUUGAGAAACAAACAAACAAAAAAAAGAUAGAAACAGUUUGUGUUACUCUAAAGUUAUUGCACAGAUUUUUUUUUUUUAAGAGCCAUGGUAGAAACUCAAUCAAGUAGGUAUAUAAAUAUGUACAUUUUCGAAGCAGUAUGUUUCACUUUAGGACCAGGUAAGUUGUCUGGCUCUAAAUUUAACAGAAUUUACUCAAGGAGAUGCUUAAAGAACACCUACCUUCCCAGUUUCUGAUGAGUGAGUUAACCAGGAUUACUGUAGAUUUCACUUGAGAAUAGAUGGCUAAAUUUCACAUCUUGUCACUGUAGGUAGAAGCAUACUUAACUUGGUUAACUUUUAUAAAACUCAGACCUGCAGCAGUGUGUACAGAGACAAUUGGCCCAAUGUCACUGCAGUUAUUUCGCUUCCUCACUAGAGCUUCUACGCCCACAGUUCAGAGGCUUGUGCCUAUGCCGAGGUAAUACUUCAGUAUAUUCAAAAACCACAAUGUUACAGAUUUAAAACAUGUAUGUGCUUAGUACUAUUGUGCAGAUACCAUCAAGCAUAUCUGAAGGAAAAGAAGCAAACAAAAAACUAACCACAACCAGGAAAUCUCACUUAUUCUUUCUGUGACUGUGCUUCUUGUCUUGCUCGAAUGAAACAGGUUCUGCACAGCUAAGUGAUUUGGAGCAGUUGUGGUUGGGGUCUGGUUGAGCGCCAAGUUGAGAGAAACUCAAUCUAGGAUGAUGGAAUGAAAAAGAUGCAUUUACUUUAGCCUCUGCUCUGCUGCCAGCUUAUGAUGGAACAGAACAGUUGGUUUCUUAACUAAUUAUCAAUAACUUAGUAAUGAAAGGCAGAUUCAAAAGACAAAUAAAUAGGAAUAAGAAGCAAUUUAGUUAAAAAAAAUAAAUGCAGUCGUUUUGUAGCCAUCUGUGCAAGCUUCCUCCAGAAUUGCAACACUUUUCUAUGCAUUAAAAACUUAAAUAUUAAAUAAACACUUAGAUACUAAAUAAUUAUUAAUAACUCUGUAAUGACUUUUUCUCCCUGGUUAAUAAUUAACACACAGUUAAGACAUUUGUGAAAUCGUAGGUUGGAUCAGCUUUGUUAUUGCCAAAUUACAAUACAAGAGAUCUGAAUAAAUGUAGUAAUUUUUUAUUGAUCACAAACAUAAUACUUUCAGCAAUUAAAAUGCAUGACUCAUAUGAACAAAGUGAAAAUAAAGCACAUCCAAAAAAUAACUUCACAUUUUUUUCCAUUUCAUUCUUAGUGUAAGCAAUAAAUACAAUGCUAUAGCUUCUAUUAAUCUUAUUUACACAGUACAAUACUUGAAUGUUGCCUGGUUUCCAGCCCAAAUGUUUCAUGACAUAAAAAAUAGUAUGUGUUGCAGCAUUUCUAUGGCCAAAUACUCUAGUAGAUCAUCACAAUGAGAAAAAAUACAAAGCAUAGUUGAUAACAUUAAAAAACAAAACAAAAAACUGAGGGGACUUUGCACUGGAACUUCAAUCUGUGCAUUUUACUAACUGAAGGCAGUAGCAUUAAAAAUAGACAUUCCCGUCAUACAAAACUAAGAUGCUAGAAUUACAGAUACCUGAUAUAAUAUAAGCAUUUCUGUAGCCCCCUUCAGACUGACACAAUAAAUCCUCACUAAAUAGCAACAACAAAAAAAGAGCAAAUAAUAAUAGAUGAAUGCAUGUUCAAUGGAAUCUCACAGCCCCUCCAAACUGGAGAUUACUUUCAUCCCAGAGAAUACAGAUAAUGACUACAAUAUUCUACAAUGCAGAAAAUAAGCCAUAAGAAAUAUCAGUAUAAGGAUUUGAUUUUAAUUUAUAGUGGUAAAAGACCGAAAAAAAGAAAAAAA
Molecule: non-coding RNA, 6445 nt
Organism: Anas platyrhynchos (mallard)
Lineage: Eukaryota; Metazoa; Chordata; Aves; Anseriformes; Anatidae
Source: RefSeq, a predicted model, not a curated record